This 3898-nucleotide long non-coding RNA is filed under the name Homo sapiens (human). Its description in RNAcentral is "non-protein coding lnc-ANXA1-11:1". Lineage: Eukaryota; Metazoa; Chordata; Mammalia; Primates; Hominidae. The record is from RNAcentral.
GGGAAAAGAAAUUUGAAUGCAAAUCAAAUUGGAUUUUUUUCUGGAAAUGUUCUGUUUAAGUCUGUGAGGAAGUCACUGCAGCUGUGAUUAAAACUUAUUUUCUUAUAUUUGAUCAGAAAUAAAAGUCCCUCUCCUUUUCAAAAGGGGUUUGUUAUGAAGGAACUUUACAACACUUCCAAUCCCAUUUAGUUAUUCAUUCAAGAGCCAUUGCCUUUCACCAGGGCAAUAUUAGCAGAAUUGGAAGUGUAACAAAUACAUAAAAUAAUCAGUGGGUCGAAUGAGAGGGAGAUCACAGAGACAAUGAGGGAAGACAGCUCUUUAUACAAGAUUUCUAGUAAAGAAAAGGAGGAUCCAAAUCAUGAGCUGAAGAAUCCCUGGCAGCCUCAAUGGGUGAAGAGAGGUUUUAAUGAAGCAUCAAAGCAAGGGAUGGGGCAUCUUUUGCCUUUUGAGGAAAAGGGCAUUUAAUAUUCAUGUGUUUCUCAGUGAGCAGGUCUAUGCAAACCUACCUCCAAAGUCAGAGGAAGCUGAGAGGCCUAAGAAAGAGGCUGACAAAUCCCAUUUUUUAGAAUCAAACAUUUCGCAGGGAUUUAGGAACAGAAGCCAUGUCUGUGUCUCAAGCAGUGUUGAGAUAAGAUACUGGAUCCCCAUGCCAUUGUCCCUCAGACCUAGGGCUUAUAUAACAUAGGGAAGUGGUGACUCAGAAGGCAUGUGUAGGACAACUGCAGUACAAUAAUAUCAAGGUUAAUUUGACCUAAGGGCAGGAUUUAUGGUAAGCACCUGCUCUUACAUAAGAAACAAUAGAUGAACUGAAAAUCGUAGCAGCUUCCCAGAGCAGGAAUUAAUCAGAAGUCAACAUGUUGAAUUAGCAUCCACAGUGGAGCUGCCUUGGCCUGCACAUCAUCUUUGCAAGAGAGCUAUUCUUGUAUUGACUUCAUGAUCUCUUGUUUUGCCUUCAAGCUUCCUUAAAAUCCAUGGUUUUUGUCAUUUAAAAAAACAAGCAGGGUAAGGAGUUAUGGAGGAAAGGUGGAGAAAUGUUAUUUUAGAUAGCAGUCAGAAAAAGCUUGUGCGAGGGGAGAUACUUCAGCAGUAAUCAUAAUGAAAUGAGGGAACAAGACAUGCAGAUGACUAAUAAGAGCACUCCACCUCUGGGCACAGUAGCUCAUGCCUGUAAUACCAGCACUUUGGGAGGGCGAGGUGGGCCAAUCACCUGAGGUCAGGAGUUCGAGGCCAGCCCUACCAACAUGCUGAAAAUCGCGCCACUGCACUCCAGCCUGGGUGACAGAGAGAGACUCCACCUCAAGAAAAAAAUAAGAAAGUGGAGAGUAAAAAACAACUUCAUGUUUGGUGCCUGAGCAAAUUAGAAGUUACGAAUUAAUUUGCUGAGACAGGGAAGCUUGGAGGAGAAAUGCUUGUACACAUGGGGAAUCAAGUAUUCUUUGGACAUGCUGAGUUUGAGAUGCGCUUAAGCUUUCAAAUUGGAAUGUGGAUUUAGAAGUUGGAUAUAUGAAUGUGGGGUUCAGUAGAGGGUAUAUUCUCAGGAUUAAAAGUAUGGAGUCAUCAGAAAGAAAUAGAUAAUGUGGUGUGAGAUUUUUCAGUCCUCUGCUUUUCAGGUAUUUGCUAAGAUGGCAUUUCUUAGCUCUCUGUGGUUAUGUGGAGCCUUGAAAAUAGCUAUGAGAGGAAGCUAUUUUAGGCUGGACCAUUUAACUUCAGUUCAGUAUGAGAACUUCAAGAUAUCUUUUUGUUGUUGUUCCUGUGGUUGUCUCCUGACAGUUCUCCAGAUGGUGGCUGCUCCAUCUGUCUGGGUCCCAGAUUAAGGACAACUUAUAGCAUAACUCCCAGCUGACUCACAAUGAUAUAGCAUGAGUGAGAAAUCGACCUUGCCAUCUUGGUUUCCUGAAAUACGGGAGUUAUUUGUUAUUGCAUCAUAGCCUAGCCCAUCCUGAAAAAUACCAGAAAUAAAUAACGCUGUAGGACUGAGUGAGAUCACCCAAGGAGUGAAUAUGGAAAGAAGAAAGAAGAAUUCCAAGGAUUGAGCCAUGGCAUACUCUGACAGUCACUAAUCAGAAAAUGAAGAGGAUGAAGAUUAGGCAAAGGGACAGAUUAUGAAUCAUUUAUUUAUUUUCUAAAACACCAUUAUUACCGUUAUUAUUUAUUUUUUGUUUCAAAAUUGAUAACAAUUUAAUAAAAGCACUUUUCCCCGGACAGCGGAAGAAAACACUUGUUUAAAAACCAAGUAGAACCAAUUAUAGCACGCAUUUGUCUGUAUAACUAAAAGAGUAUUUCUGUAUCAAAAUAAGUCGAGUGUAAAGCCUAUUUACUUUCAGUUUAUACAGAUUCCUCUAAAACAAUUUUGACUACUGAGGCUGAUGUAUCCACAAGAUGAAGCCUAAGUCAUAAAAUCUGCUUAACUUCAUCAUUUCUUCAAUAUAUUUGAAGUUGUGGUAAAACUUUAUGGCAAAUUUUAGUAUGUAGCAUAGUCUAGUAUAUCAUAGUCCAGUAACAUUUAAUAGCAUAUACCAGGUUUUUGACUGAAUUUCCUAUUUUACUCAUUGCAGGGUCAUUUUGAUUUCCUUAAUUUAAUUAUAUAUCUCUGAACUUCAGUUCUACAUAAACUGAAUCAUUUGGAGCAACAGGUAUUUGUUGCCCAGGUGAUAGCCUGAAGAAAGACAAAUUGGCCACACACACACACACACACACACACACACACGCCCCGUAACUAUUUAAACUCUAUAAUAUACACUGAGCAAUGUGCACACUUGGUUAAUAUAAUUUCAUUGUGUGAUACAUGAUAGGCAAAAAUGCUGGUCCCAUGUGGAUUCAUGACAAAAUAUAGCUGCCUCCGUGGCCGCCUUCCCUUGUUAGGUUCUGAAAAGCUUUACAACAAAUGUGAAAAUGCCAUAUUUCCAUCAGUGACAGGUAUCAGCUUCAUUUAUAAAUGUAUAUUUUGAAACUAUUUUACAGCUCUUCUUCCUAUGCAAGAAAGUUUAUUUCAAGGCUGUCAUAAUUUGAUCUUUUUGAAGACAAUUUAAUUUACACAUAUGAAUCCAAAUUCCUAUUAAGAAAUUAACUGCCUGUCAUAAUACUAAUGAAAAUAACCCUCCUAAGGUGGCCACUGAUGAACACAUGAACAUCUUUAACAAGGGUAAGCACACACAGACAGAUGGUGACAAUUGUGUCAAGGGUGUACUCCUUCCCAGCAAGGUGUAAGUUUUCUUUGGAUGUUGAUUUUAAAACCAACCCCAAUUUCAAAAACAUUGAAAUAUUUUUAAUGAAUAAAACUUUUGAUUGUUUGAAUAUUCCCCAUCAUCUCUCUCGUCUCAUUGCUAAAAUGGUUUCUGGUUUUCUUUGGUUUCCUUUUCUCUGACCCCACCCAUAUGGGAUAAACCAGCUAUUGCCAGCUUAAUUUGGGGGGUUUUGUGAUGCUAAGUCAUAAAGAGGGAAGGGUCGAAGAGCAAAGUGAAAGGGUGGAAGGAGAGGUGUACAAAGCCUAGGGACAAGAACUGGUGUGGUUGGAGGGGGAUUGGUAACAGAAGAGUAAUCAGCAGGUGUGAGUAAAAACUAGGUGAGAUGAAAGAAGAAUGACUAAAUGUCAGGAAUUGGAUCUCCUUUCUAGACUUUUAGAAGUACAAGUGAAAAAUGGAGUUCAUUUUGACCUGUUUGGACAUUGUCUCUUUAAAGAAAACUGAACUAGGCUGUUUAUUUUUUCAAUCAUUUAUUCACUCAACAAUUUUUUAUUGAGCUCCUACUAUAUGCCAAGCAUUUUCUUUGGUUCAAGGAAUAUGGUAGUAAACGAAACAGCCUGGUUUUCAAGGAGCUUAUGUGUAGGAAAGCAUUAAUUAAACAAAUGAAUUAGUAAAGCAUAUGGUAGAAAGUGAUACAUUGGCUAAAAAAAAAGGCA